RNAcentral lists this ribosomal RNA (407 nucleotides) under uncultured bacterium. Its description in RNAcentral is "partial 16S ribosomal RNA". It matches the Rfam family "Bacterial small subunit ribosomal RNA", at positions 30 to 526 of the family's 1533-position model. The record is from RNAcentral.
AUUGAACGCUGGCGGCAGGCCUAACACAUGCAAGUCGAGCGGAGCGGCGGACGGGUGAGUAAUGCCUAGGAAUCUGCCUGGUAGUGGGGGAUAACGUCCGGAAACGGGCGCUAAUACCGCAUACUCUCAGAUGAGCCUAGGUCGGAUUAGCUAGUUGGAGGGGUAACGGCACACCAAGGCGAUGAUCAGUAGCCGGUCUGAGAGGAUGAACGGCCACAUUGUGACUGAGACACGGUCCAGACUCCUACGGGAGGCAGCAGUGGGGAAUAUUGGACAAGGGGCGAAAUCCUGAUCCAGCCAGGCCGCGUGUGUGAAGAAGGUCGUCGGAUUGUAAAGCACUUUAAGUUGGGAGGCGUUACCAACAGAAUAAGCACCGGCUAACUUCGUGCCAGCAGCCGCGGUAAUUC